GCACCUUCGGUGUCCGAGUUGUAAUUUGAAGAAGGUAACUUUGGAGUUGGCUCUUGUCUAUGUUCCUUGGAACAGGACGUCACAGAGGGUGAGAAUCCCGUGCGAUGAGAUGUCCAACUCUAUGUAAAGUGCUUUCGAAGAGUCGAGUUGUUUGGGAAUGCAGCUCUAAGUGGGUGGUAAAUUCCAUCUAAAGCUAAAUAUUGGCGAGAGACCGAUAGCGAACAAGUACAGUGAUGGAAAGAUGAAAAGAACUUUGAAAAGAGAGUGAAAAAGUACGUGAAAUUGUUGAAAGGGAAGGGUUUGAGAUCAGACUUGGUAUUUUGUAUGUCUUGCUUUCGGGUGGGGCCUCUGCAGUUUACUGGGCCAGCAUCGGUUUGGACGGUAGGAUAAUGACAUUGGAAUGUGGCACUACUUCGGUGGUGUGUUAUAGACUUUGUUGAUACUACCUGUCUAGACCGAGGACUGCGUCUUUGACUAGGAUGCUGGCAUAAUGAUCCUAAACCGCCCGUCUUGAAACACGGACCAAGGAGUCUAACGUCUAUGCAAGUGUUUGGGUGUAAAACCCGUACGCGUAAUGAAAGUGAACGUAGGUGAGAGCUCUUUAGAGUGCAUCAUCGACCGAUCCUGAUGUCUUCGGAUGGAUUUGAGUAAGAGCAUAGCUGUUGGGACCCGAAAGAUGGUGAACUAUGCCUGAAUAGGGUGAAGCCAGAGGAAACUCUGGUGGAGGCUCGUAGCGGUUCUGACGUGCAAAUCGA
This 755-nucleotide ribosomal RNA is filed under the name Scheffersomyces sp. D46_2. Its description in RNAcentral is "eukaryotic LSU rRNA". It matches the Rfam family "Eukaryotic large subunit ribosomal RNA", at positions 125 to 901 of the family's 3401-position model. The record is from RNAcentral. Lineage: Eukaryota; Fungi; Ascomycota; Pichiomycetes; Serinales; Debaryomycetaceae.